GAGUCAUUUAGGUAAUAUUUCUGAAUGUAGGCAAACGCGACUCGCGCAAAGUGGUUCACCGAGAUAUCACUGGUGGAACAGAUGUCUAUAUUAAACUAGGGCUACAGCCAAUGUAAGGGACUUUACACAAUGCGAGGGAAUAACGAUAGGAACAGCGAUAAGAAUAAUAUCGAAAUAAGCGAUCAUCUCGCAUUGCACAAUGCCGUGAAAGAAAUAAAAGCCAACCAAUCAGAUCGCGUGUGAACAAUCUAUUCUUUCGUCUGCUUCAGAUAAACGUUUUUGUUGACAAAUUUUGAUAAGUUUCAUAAUAUUUGAACUGGAAUAUUACAGAAAAAUUUCUGAAACGUAUUCAUAUACAUUAUUCUACAUAUUAUAUUUUCACGCAAAUUAUAGCUGCGUUUCG
This is a long non-coding RNA of Pogonomyrmex barbatus (red harvester ant), 403 nucleotides long. Lineage: Eukaryota; Metazoa; Arthropoda; Insecta; Hymenoptera; Formicidae. The record is from RefSeq and is a predicted model, not a curated record.